UAUGAUGACGGUACUGUUUGUAAGCUCCGGCUAACUCCGUGCCAGCAGCCGCGGUAAUACGGGGGGAGCAAGCGUUGUUCGGAUUUACUGGGCGUAAAGGGCGCGUAGGCGGCGCAACAAGUCACUUGUGAAAUCUUCAGGCUUAACCUGAAGCGGCCAAGUGAUACUGUCGUGCUAGAGUGCGGAAGGGGCAACUGGAAUUCUUGGUGUAGCGGUGAAAUGCGUAGAUAUCAAGAGGAACACCUGCGGCGAAGGCGGGUUGCUGGGCCGACACUGACGCUGAGGCGCGAAAGCUAGGGGGGCGAACGGGAUUAGAUACCCCGGUAGUCCUAGCCUUAAACGAUGAAUGCUUGGUGUCCGAGGUUAGAUAGUCCUCGGGUGCCGUCGCUAACGCUUUAAGCAUUCCGCCUGGGGAGUACGGUCGCAAGACUGAAACUCAAAGGAAUUGACGGGGACCCGCACAAGCGGUGGAGCAUGUGGUUUAAUUCGACGCAACGCGAAGACCCUUACCUAGCCUAGAAUGCCUCUGACAGCUCUGGAGACAGAGUCUCCUUGGGAAACCAAGGCAGAGUGCAAGGUGCUGCAUGGCUGUCGUCAGCUCGUGUCGU
This 608-nucleotide ribosomal RNA is filed under the name uncultured Acidobacteriota bacterium. RNAcentral's name for it is "bacterial SSU rRNA". It matches the Rfam family "Bacterial small subunit ribosomal RNA", at positions 465 to 1068 of the family's 1533-position model. The record is from RNAcentral. Lineage: Bacteria; Pseudomonadati; Acidobacteriota.